ACAAAACCCCAAGCAGACUAUGAAAGGAUGUUCUUAGAUCGGGGAUGGCAAAUGGAUUUUGUCUUCAGUGACCAUUGCAACUGGCAGGUGUCCAGCGAAAAGGGCUAAGAUUACUACUGGGCAGGGAGGAAAGUGUUGGUAUCCUUCCCAGGCAUUAUUCUACAGUGCAUGUGUAGAAAAAUCUCAUCUCCAGCGCUUACAAUCAGUAUUUUCAUAAAAGAAAUCAUCAUGACAGUGUAUGUCAAGAAGAGUCAUGCGUGAUUUGAAAUUCUAUAGAUAUCUUCCUUCAGAAUCGUAACAAUAAUAAUGACAAUAAA
Molecule: long non-coding RNA, 317 nt
Organism: Lutra lutra (Eurasian river otter)
Lineage: Eukaryota; Metazoa; Chordata; Mammalia; Carnivora; Mustelidae
Exons: 3
Source: RefSeq, a predicted model, not a curated record